GGCGCGCGGCGGGCUGAGGGAGCGGCCGUAUCGAUUUUGUGGUGUUUUGCGCGCUGAGGUGAUUUUGUGAUAACGCCCCACGGCUCAGCUCGACUCCCGCUCCCACAGCGGGCUGCUCUGAGGGAGCUGCCCCCGCCUCCCCUGCACGCUGUAAUUACUGGAGCACAUAAAGCGGCUCCAGCGGGAAUUUAUCGCUUUCAGGCAGAAAUACUCACAGCCAAAUAAAAGAUAGAGUAGAAGUGCCAGAAGCAAUACAUAACAGGCUUUACUGACAUUUCGCGUUGAGAAGCCCCACCGGUGAGCGAGCAUCGUGCCAUAAAUCUCAGUGCAAACGCGGUGAAAGCAAACGGGCUGUUCUGUGAGGGAACUUCAUCACAAAAGCGAUGCGGAGUGGGCAAAUUUUGCAGGUGAAAGCUGUGGGAAACAGCUUUCAGCUCUGCUGAAGUGUGGGGGCUGUUUUGGCCUUUCAUGGAAGGUUAAAUGUUGAUCUUUGCUGCUGCUGUUAGCCGUAGGUGCAAGGAGAACAGUGCGAGGAGGUCAGACCUGGUGGUGCCUCGUCCCAUGUGUGCUCACAAUAUCUGAAUGCAGAUGAGGAGUGAUGGCAGGUGACACAGCUGGGACAGGGACCUGCUCCAUCAGCCCUCUGAAACCAGGAUAAACUCACAAAAUAACUAGCGACAAUCCAUUAAACAUCAGCAGCUCCCAGCCUUAACGUCCUCCUCCCUCUUGCUAGGAUGCUGUGCACUUUGCAUGCACUUCCGAAAAUGAGCGCCCAGCAUUUGGCCUUAAGUUGGUCCACGGGAGGCUCAGGUUGGAUAUUAGGAACAGUUUUGUCUCAGAAAGAGCAGUGCUGCAGUAGCACAGCUGCCCAAGGGAUGUGGUGUUGUCACCAUCCCUGCAGGUGUUCCAGAACCAUGGAGAUGUGGCACUGAGGGACGUGAUCAUUGCCUAUGAAGGGGGUGGGUUGGGGUUGGACUUGGUGAUCUUAGAGGUCUUUUCCAACCAGAGUGAUUCUGUGAUUCUACGACCUCCUGGUGCGUCAUGCCAGAAGGUGGCAAAUGGACCUGCUGCCCAGCUGCAACUUGGAUGCGGUUUGAAGCAUUUGAGCCAAAAUUACAAACACCACAUGAUCCAUAGUGCUCUUAAGUCAACGUGGCAUUUAUGUUCGCAAAAUAUGAGGUGCCGAUAUAUACUAUAUAGGACAAUAAAACAGAUAAGCACUUCAUCUGUCUUUCCCCCGGCUGAAAUAUGGUUAUUGUCCGUCUCGGUAAAUCCACUUGUGUGUGCGUGGUCUCCUUUGUGCUGAGGCAUCGUGUGAGCAUUUACAAACAUUUACAACUAAGCUUAACUAAGGCAAAGUACUGCCUUGGGCAGCCAGCCUCGAACAAAUACUUGCGUUCAAGAAAGAUGUAAAAGUCACCAGUGAUUCAUUCGCCCUAGUUUUAUAAAGGUUAAGGAGUGGGCGCUCUUGGAAAUCUAAGAAACGUCUUCCAGUGCAGUGAAUAACUGUGAGCAAUUGGACAGUCAGGAGCAAAAAAAACGACGCAGAGAACCGGAGGGGGGGGGGGGGGGGGGUGAGAAAUAUAUCGCUAAAUUUGGUUUAUGCAGUAUUUAAAGUAUGAGGAAAGCCAUUCCAGGCAGUAUAAAGCUCCCAUACUUCAAAAGGAAUUUGCUGCAUGACAGAAAGCUUGUAGAGUGGUUUCAGCGUUGGUGCGAUGCCAUGCGGCAGCAAAGCAAGGUGCAUGCAUGACUUGAACCCAAUGAGACAGCGAUGGUACUGCCUGUGCUGAGCACAAAACAGCAUUUCCAACAGCGCAGGGCUGCAGAGUAAAACUGGUGCUGAAGGAGGUCACUGGUAGAAUCCACACCACCCUACCCCGUCAUUUGGAAGCGUGGCCUAUCUGGUAAAGACUGCCAUACGAAAUGCACCACUACCUUGUAUUCUAUUUGUUAAAGGAUGGCAUCCUCACCACCUUGCUGCAUCAUUUUGAAGCGUGGCAAACCUCGUAAAGACCUUCCUAUGCAAAUACACCACUGCCUGAUGUUCCACUCAUUAGCAAAGUUAUUCUGUCGCUUCUCAGUAAGUAGACCACCGCUGUGUGACUCAUUGCAUGGCGGCAAGUCAAAACAGAAGAUUGGAAGAGCGUUCCAGGAGAAGCAGCCUUGCACUGUGAAUUCCCUCUUUCUUCAGAUGUCUGAAUCAAAGCCUUCACAGGCUGAGCUCAGCUCACUUGCCAGGCCACCCUUGGCGUGGUUGUUGUGCACAGUCGAAGCCCCGUGAGCUUGAUUCUGGACCUCCUGCGUGGCAGCGUGGACUUGAAAGACAUUGGGCUGUGGAAAUCACUUGGUGCAGCAACUGGUUAGGGCUGUUAGAGAAGCAAGUGUUAACAUUUUGAAUAUUGAGGGAUUUGAUCCCCAGAAGGAAAUAGCAAUAAUAAUAAUAAUAAAAAAAGUCUGUUAGGCUUUCAGACUAAGCAGCACAGUCAGCAUUGCAUUACACAGCGUUAAAUUAUUAGUCGAGGUUCAACAGCAGGAACAUCUGCUGGUGUUAGACAUGGCAUUUUUAAUUAAAGGCAGCAGCCGCCUGUGGUUCAUCAGUUCUGCUCUCGCCCUGUGAGUUGCUAAACCCAGAGGCUGCUCUGGCUGGAGCAGGUGCUGUGGAGCUGGUGCUGCAGAAGGGUGAGUGACGAAGUCCCUAAGGUGACAGGCAAUUUGCACCUGGGCUGAAUGGCCCAGCAAUCAGCAGGAGCUCUCCAUGAAUCCUCACCUCGGUCAAAACUGCAAGGGAUUUUGUGAAAUUGAGAUUACCCACCUGGUUUUUCCUCUCCUCACUAUCUGCAGGGUAGGAGAACAGGAGUUUUGAAUAGAAAGCAAAGUAGGUGGGAGGAAGAAGGCCUCCCCUGGGAGUCCUAUUCCCAAAGGCAUUAAGGUUUGAGAAGGGAACACCAUCAGCUGCACACUCAGACCCCUGGGCUCCAAACAGAACCAACAAGUACCAGCAGACUUCAGCCAAGGGAGGACACAGGCAUGAUACAGAUUGCCCAAAGCCCCAUCAGGAUGGGUAAAUCUAACAAAUCAAGAAAUAGUUGUAGAUGGAGCAAGAAACGUGCCUUUCUGCCUUCAUGCACCCACUAAAACUGAAAUGCUGUCCCGCAGCCUAAUCUGAAGGGAUCCAUCAUUCCAGUAAUGUAUUACUUUGAACCUGAUCACAAAAGGCAAGGUCCUGAUUUGUCACAGGCUGGGGCAGAGGUCCAGGGCAGGCACAGACAGCCACAUGGCAGAUGUGCAGAGCUGGUGUCCCAUCCUGUCGGUGUGCAGGGGGCCGGGAUUUCCCUCGACGAGUCCUGCAGAUGGUGUUUGUUUGCUCAGCCACGAUGAGAAAGGAAAAUAUUUGGUGCAAUCUGCUAGCAGGCAGAGUCAGACAUAUGGUUGGCGCGCUGCAAGCCUGGGUGCUCGGGAAAAGGCAGAGCUCUGCAGCACCUUUCAGAUGCUGGAUUACCUUUGAGCAGGAUGAAAGUGCAGGGAAACCUUUGAAGAAGAUGGCUGCAGAUUUCCUAAUGUGCCGGGGCUGCUGUACUGUGACCCCUCUUAUUAUUAGCCCCAUUCUAAUUAGUCCUGUUACACUAUCAUGAUUAUAUUAGUGUUAUUAUAAAUAGCCCAAUUAUAAUUAACACGAGCCUCAGCCCUGGCUUAAUGCUUGGUGAAGUUCUCCCUGGCUGGAUGCCCAUUCAUCAGGCAAACACAAAACAUGGGUUAAAAAUGACAGAGGCAAUUAAUGGUGAUUGGCACGGGGGAGCUGAGGUGUGGGUGGAGCAUCACCUUCGUUCUCUUUACAUCUGAUUUAUGAUGAUCUUUUCAGACGUAUCCUUGCAGCAUGAAGCCUCCUGGAAGUGUUUGGGCCACCCCAAAACAUAACAUUCUUUUUAUUUCCCUUUUAGUCGAAAUAAAAGUAAAUCCUCUGAAUAUUCAGAUGUCCAUUUCCCGAAUACCAGCACCCGAUUCCUGAUCGAGACUAACCCCCACGUCAGGUACCAUUGUGCUGAAGGGUAAUGGGGCCGUGAGCUGCCAGCUGUGAUCAGACCCUGCACACCCAUCCCACCCCAGGAGAAAGCACCGUGGGCACCACCCAUGCCACUGUGCCACAUCCAUGGGUGACCUCAAGUCCCAUGGUGCCCAGCCUGAACCGUGGCAAAGCCCUGGGUUCAAAGCUCCCUGGGUGCUUUCCCUGGAAAAAACAAGGAGCAAACUCCCCAGUAUGCCUCUGUGUGCUUGCAGCUAUGGAUACAUAUGUUCUAUACAGAGUUACGUCCUUUUGGCACCUGGGAUUCCUGCCAUCGCUGCAAUAUGAGCUCUGUCUGAAACUGCAUCCUCAGCCGUGCUGCCUCCACUGCCCUGCGUGUAGCCUCUUCGAUGAAACAGCAGCAGUGUAAGAAAGCUGAGGCCCAGAAGACAGGCCAGGGUCCCAUCCUGUGCUUUGCUGGUCUGUGGAGCAACGCUGACCCGGACGUCUUCGUUUGACCUAUAAACAUGCUUGUUGUCCCAGUGCAGGGACAAAUCCACUGCUGUGGUUCUCACGAAAGGACAAAGAAGUCCUAUUAGACCCUCAAUUAAUAUUUACAGUAGUGAUAAGGGCUGAGAGAACCGUUGUUUGAUUUGCCCCCACAGGACAGCUUUCCUUGGCUGCCCUUGGUGGCCACUUGCAUUAAGGUUGAAGCCAAGCAAGGAUCAGGCUUGAGAAGUGCCAUGCUCUCACCAGCAGUGCAAAGAUGGGACAGAGAUUUGAGUCAGUGUCUCUUAGUCCACAUCUCCAAUUACAAAGUUGAUUUGAAUCCAUCUCACAAUCCACACAACCAACUAUGAAGGCCCUCCCUGGCCCUGGACUUGUUUAGUGUUGUACUGCAGACACCUUGUGUUGCUGUAUUUUAAAGCAUUCUUAAAUGAAACUCAGUUGAAGCCCAUGCAGUUCCAAUUAACACAUACGGGCCACAUAAUCACUCUGGCUUGGCGUUAUUGCUCCCCUUUGCCUCAAACAAAGGUUACUAGGGUGGCUGAAGUGAGAUUGCAUUAAACAAGCGAGAUGAAAAGCUUGCUUUCCCCCUGGCUUCAGCAUUCAUCUCUCACUCACGGAGAGGUGAUGUGUAGCAGUAUGCAGAGCGCUCCUCUGUCCCUUCCAGGGACACUGGGGUCAAUGUUUUCAGAGAUCUUAAGCUCCCUGCUCAGACCAAGAGAAAGAACCAGGCUCGACGGCUGCCUGGCUGCAUUGAAAAAGUCAUUUUCUGAGCAGUAGCUUUGUAUUUCCAUCCUGCAACCUGAACGAGCCCUCCAUGGGGAGACCGAGGGGCGAUAGGAAACCCAGAGCUGGCUUUCAGAGGUAGGAUGUUAUUAGCUUCCACAUUUCUUGUCCUGGAGCCAAGCCUGGAGCAUGUCCUACCUUAGAAAAGGACAGGUUAAACCCACAAGGCUCAGAGGGGGUUUGUAAUAUAGAAAAAAUGAUAAUUCAGCCCCUGGUGAUGCUUCAUGCAGCCUACUUGCCAGAUGCUUCAACCCCCUGAGCAGUUGUAACUACUUCUCCACAGGUUUCAAUUAAAUUCCCUUAAGUACCUAAACUUUUGCUUGUUUGGACCAAUACCUGCAGACUUGAUUGCAAUAGCAGAUGUUUUAUUUUUACCUGCAAGUGAAACUGGAGAGCGUACAUCACGGCUGUGACACAUUUCACAUGAAGCAGAUGUUUCUAUUAAUGCCAGAAUUGGGUGGAAAUCCAAAGGAUGCUUUUUGCUUUUUUGGGGGGGGAAAUUCUAUUUUACCCAAUUAAACUGCAACUUGCUGAAGUAUUCCAGUGAAUCACUCCCUUUUUUUUUUUUCUUCUCUUUUUUUUUGAUUAGCAGGCUCUAAAGGGACAAAAGAAUAG
Gallus gallus (chicken) is the source of this 5908-nucleotide long non-coding RNA. RefSeq lists it as uncharacterized. The transcript has 4 exons. NCBI's taxonomy places the organism in Eukaryota, Metazoa, Chordata, Aves, Galliformes, Phasianidae. The record is from RefSeq and is a predicted model, not a curated record.